GUGGGGAAUAUUGGACAAUGGGCGAAAGCCUGAUCCAGCCAUGCCGCGUGUGUGAAGAAGGUCUUCGGAUUGUAAAGCACUUUAAGUUGGGAGGAAGGGCAGUAAGUUAAUACCUUGCUGUUUUGACGUUACCGACAGAAUAAGCACCGGCUAACUUCGUGCCAGCAGCCGCGGUAAUACGAAGGGUGCAAGCGUUAAUCGGAAUUACUGGGCAUAAAGCGCGCGUAGGUGGUUUUGUAAGUUGGGGGUGAAAUCCCCGGGCUCAACCUGGGAACUGCCUCCAAAACUGCAUGACUAGAGUACGGUAGAGGGUAGUGGAAUUUCCUGUGUAGCGGUGAAAUGCGUAGAUAUAGGAAGGAACACCAGUGGCGAAGGCGACUACCUGGACUGAUACUGACACUGAGGUGCGAAAGCGUGGGGAGCAAACAGGAUUAGAAACCCGUGUAGUCC
This 450-nucleotide ribosomal RNA is filed under the name uncultured bacterium. Its description in RNAcentral is "bacterial SSU rRNA". It matches the Rfam family "Bacterial small subunit ribosomal RNA", at positions 354 to 796 of the family's 1533-position model. The record is from RNAcentral.